GUGGGGAAUUUUGGACAAUGGGCGCAAGCCUGAUCCAGCCAUGCCGCGUGUCUGAAGAAGGCCUUCGGGUUGUAAAGGACUUUUGUCAGGGAAGAAAAGGGCGGGGUUAAUACCCCUGUCUGAUGACGGUACCUGAAGAAUAAGCACCGGCUAACUACGUGCCAGCAGCCGCGGUAAUACGUAGGGUGCGAGCGUUAAUCGGAAUUACUGGGCGUAAAGCGGGCGCAGACGGUUACUUAAGCAGGAUGUGAAAUCCCCGGGCUCAACCUGGGAACUGCGUUCUGAACUGGGUGACUAGAGUGUGUCAGAGGGAGGUAGAAUUCCACGUGUAGCAGUGAAAUGCGUAGAGAUGUGGAGGAAUACCGAUGGCGAAGGCAGCCUCCUGGGAUAACACUGACGUUCAUGCCCGAAAGCGUGGGUAGCAAACAGG
This 430-nucleotide ribosomal RNA is filed under the name bacterium. RNAcentral describes it as "bacterial SSU rRNA". It matches the Rfam family "Bacterial small subunit ribosomal RNA", at positions 354 to 776 of the family's 1533-position model. The record is from RNAcentral. RNAcentral also lists the same sequence under 2 other names.